UGAGGAAUAUUGGGCAAUGGAGGCAACUCUGACCCAGCCAUGCCGCGUGCAGGAAGACGGCCCUAUGGGUUGUAAACUGCUUUUAUACAGGAAGAAACCCUGCUACGUGUAGCAGUUUGACGGUACUGUAAGAAUAAGGACCGGCUAACUCCGUGCCAGCAGCCGCGGUAAUACGGAGGGUCCGAGCGUUAUCCGGAAUCAUUGGGUUUAAAGGGUCCGCAGGCGGUCGAUUAAGUCAGAGGUGAAAUCCCAUAGCUUAACUAUGGAACUGCCUUUGAUACUGGUUGACUUGAGUCAUAUGGAAGUAGAUAGAAUGUGUAGUGUAGCGGUGAAAUGCAUAGAUAUUACACAGAAUACCGAUUGCGAAGGCAGUCUACUACGUAUGUACUGACGCUGAGGGACGAAAGCGUGGGGAGCGAACAGG
Molecule: ribosomal RNA, 424 nt
Filed under: uncultured bacterium
Lineage: Bacteria
Description: bacterial SSU rRNA
Rfam family: Bacterial small subunit ribosomal RNA
Source: RNAcentral